AAGGAUCAUUAUCGUGGGGCUUCGGCCCCGUCGAGAAAGCACCCUUGCCUUUACCGUACCAUGGGAUCGACCCCCUCCGGUUCUCCGGGGUGUGGGGCGACCCUGCCCAUUUUCCUCGGCUGGUUCCCCAGCCAGGGGCGACCCUUUGAGGAAGACCAAACACGCUGCAACCACCUGUAACCGCCUGAUAAAACAAACAAAAAUCAAAACUUUCAACAACGGAUCUCUUGGUUCUGGCAUCGAUGAAGAACGCAGCCGAAACUCGAUGUGGAAGUAAAAGUCGUAACAAGGCAUCGAUGAAGAACGCAGCGUAGCCAUCGAUGUGGAAGUAAAAGUCGUAACAAG
Molecule: unclassified non-coding RNA, 345 nt
Filed under: uncultured fungus
Lineage: Eukaryota; Fungi
Description: partial contains 18S rRNA, ITS1, 5.8S rRNA, ITS2 and 28S rRNA
Source: RNAcentral